CGGGGUGAGUAAUGUCUGGGAAACUGCCUGAUGGAGGGGGAUAACUGCUGGAAACGGUAGCUAAUACCGCAUAACGUCGCAAGACCAAAGAGGGGGACCUUCGGGCCUCUUGCCAUCGGAUGUGCCCAGAUGGGAUUAGCUAGUAGGUGGGGUAACGGCUCACCUAGGCGCGAUCCCUAGCUGGUCUGAGAGGAUGACCAGCCACACUGGAACUGAGACACGGUCCAG
This 228-nucleotide ribosomal RNA is filed under the name uncultured bacterium. RNAcentral describes it as "partial 16S ribosomal RNA". It matches the Rfam family "Bacterial small subunit ribosomal RNA", at positions 104 to 334 of the family's 1533-position model. The record is from RNAcentral.